UGCCUCUCAGGCUUUUUCUACCUAAGUCCUGUGAUUUCUCCUUCCUGCCUAAUUUCACACCUAACUUCCAGAUUUAGGCCUGGUUUGUGAGUACCUAUGCCUCUCUCAUCUCCACUCCUCUCCUUCACACAUCCAGACUCUAAUUGUGAUUUUCCAACCAACUCUCUCUGCCCUUCCUUACUCUCACGCACCAUUCCAUUCCACCCCUUUCCCCUUUUAUCAUCUUCCUCUUUCAACAUGUUUUGUACUGAGCAUGUGCAGGGAACAACCUUAUGAAACCCCAUUGGCUGACAUUUGAUUUAAAAGGCAUUUUUGUGGUCAAACUACAAACAUGUUACAUAGCUCAUGACACAUACUAGACGGUUCCCUUGACCUAACACAACAAUUUCCCCAAAAGAUAUUGUACAAUCAUCCCCAUAAACCAUCCCAGCAAAGUUUAUGGAAAGAAAAUGCAAUGUGCCAGCUUCCCAAAGUCCCACAUCAGCAGCGAACUUUGGGCUCCCAAAUUUCAGUAGUGCCCUGUGCAACAUUGAAAUUUGGCGCACGCCCCCACCUCUCAUGCUCUGUUUUACAGCACUGUUGUGUCGCCCCACCCUAAAACCGCCUCUUUUCUCAUCACACAGUUAACUCAUUCCAAAUAAGCCACUUCUUAUCCUAUAUUCUGCCAAGUUUCAAAUCAAUCCAUUUAACCAUUUUCUAACAACAGUGAAAUUCAGCCAACUCACCCUUAAUACAGACCCAUGACUGUGGCCCUAUAAUAAUUAAUAUUGGCACAGCUAGUGUUCUGAUGGUAGGAUCUGAGGCCUUAAUUCCAGAAACUAUGUGGUGUUCAGCAGGUCUUUUUUUCAGCUGGAACUCGCCGAAAUUCAGUUCUGGCAUUACUCAGGUGGGAGCUAUUGCCAUUGUAAGAGACAAGGGAUGCAUUCAGGGGGAGUUCCGGCACCUCUUUUUCUAGAAAAACAGCACUGGUUUUAAGGUUUGCUUCACACAAAAACAACCUCCUGCAUUUCCAACCGCACCAUAUCUUCUGUCACGUUUAAAGGACAGUUGUGUGUCUGAAAACAGAUGGAAAAUAUAAUCCCUUGAGAUCUACUAUAAACUGAAGACAAACGAGUCUACCAUGUAUUUUAAGACAUGUGAAUAUCAGAGAAAUUUUUUUCUUUUUAAUAAAAAAAGUAGGUUGAGCAGCAAGUGAAGGGGGGGGGAGCAUGUUCCAAAGUUGUUAUAAGGUAUGAAGCAGUCCUAAGUGCUUUGGGGUAGCAAGAAAAUAGUACACCACAGCAAAUUCUCCCAAAUUUGCAUGGUUGACCACUUGUUCAUCGUUUCUGCUGGUUUGCACUGAGAGAUACAGUGAGAUUCCUGCUUCCUACUGCAGUUGAGAGAGAAGGACCAGCAAAUGUAGGUUGCAGAGCAGGAAGUUUUAGUGCUUCUGCUGUUGCACACUGCCUCAAUGUCGGAGAUUUUAAAACAACAGGUAUAAUCUCUGAAUAUGGGGUACUGGGGCAGGUCCAGGCAAACAACCUAUAUUUACAAGUUCAUUUAGAUGUUGCCCAGUUCCAGUGUCCAAAAGAACACAACUGGAUUUUUUUUUUAAAGCUUGCAAGGAUUCUCAUUUUUAGAUGCAGCUAUCUUAGAUGACUGCCUUUCAUUUAUAGACAUUGACAUGCUCACAUCCCUUGUGAUGCUAAUAACAGCAUCUUUGAAUUUAAUGUUACACACUUGAAUGCGGCUGACGAUGAGUAGGCAGAGAAGAUUACGCAGUUAUUAGUCACAUUACCUGUCAAAGCUGGCAAUAUGAGCCUCUGGGGAUACAUCGUACACUUUAAAGAUGCAAUGUACUUGGAAUUUAAGCAUAUGUGCUUAGAAAUGAGCCCUAUUUAAAUCAACAGGCCUCAUAAGCAAGCGUGUGUAAAGAUGGACUGUAAAUGUUACUGUGCAUAUAAAAUUGGUUACUUUCACAUUGCCAUGCACUGACUACAUUUUAUAAGUACCAGAUUGUGCAUUGGUCUAAUUAGGCAGCAAGGUGCGACUGUGGCAGAAUUUUCAAGUACCAAAUGGAAAUAAUAAUGUGCUGCUAUUCUUCCCAAAGCAGUACCAUGCAAUUUUGUUUAAUAUUAAUCCUCCAAGACUAGAUGAUUCAGCUAUGCACUGAACCAGCUCUUAAUUGCAUUUUAGGGGAAAGGUUUUUCAAGAAUCAGAGUAUACAAUCCAAUGCACUCUAACUUGGAAAUAAGACCCACUGUGUUAAAUGUGACUCUACCACGUGACACAGAGGUGAGGAACAUGUGGCUCUGCAUACGUUGUUGGACUCUCUCAGUCCCAGCCAGCUCGAGUUGCAAUGCAGCAGCAACAAUUAUUCUAACUUCAAAGUAUGUGCUUACAGAUGCAAAAUCUCAUGUCUACCUGAUACAAGACUAUAAUAUUUUAUACUGUCACCUAGCAUUUCAUACUCUGUCAAACCCUCAUGCCAAUCUAACAAACAGAAAGAAAGAAAAGCAAAUGAUAUUUGCUACAAACUGAAUCCAUCCACACUGUACACAAAUAUAGGUAUUGUGGCCAUUAGUGAGUACAUACUGCUAGAUCAUUGUUUAUUGAAUGGCACUGAAAGGCAAAAUGCCAGAGAGAAAGAGAAGCAUGGGCAUGAGUGCACUCACACCCUUUAAACAAAUCACUGUUAAGAGAAAUAGCCCCUGCACAGCACAAACUGCUUAGGUCAUCCCUAUGACCCUGGUUAACCUCUGAGCGAGAAGACAGCCAACUGGGCAUGUGACAUACAAUUUCAGAUCAUUUAUCAGGAAGGGAUAGAGAGAUGCCAUGGAUAGUUGCUUGUGUUACUGGGUUCAGGCUUAAACAUACUUAAAACAGAAAAAAACUUUUUUUAAAAAAUCACUACUGGUGAACUCAGUGAGGCAAAAGUUAAAAAUAAAAAAAACUGACAACAUACUUUGAAGUCUCCAUUUCACUGCGGACCCCUCAGCCCCAUCCCACUCAUUAAAUAAGCACUCAGAUGUUUCCCCAAGAUUAACUUAUUGUUUGUUUGUUUUUUUGCUUAAUCUAUUACAAUUUGUUAAUAGUCGUAUUUUUCCAAGGUAAAUAAGCCAAGUGUCCAGGCCAGCAGAGGUGGUAAAAACAGAGUCCUGUAACUUGGACUAGACCAUCCCCGUCCUUCAAGUGUGGUAAACAGCAGAUUGAAUUUCAGCUGAAGUUGAAAGAGGAAACAAAUACUGCCAAGUGUGGAGACCGUCUUUGAUUAGACUUUCACCUCUCAGGGGGUGGGGGAAGUCUCAGUCAAUCACUUCAAUGGGCACCAGAAUGGCAAUACUCCGCCACCUGUUUCCAAAGAUAGAGGUGUUUGUAAGGUCACACUCUGUCUGGAAUAAUUCCCUGGUUCUUCUCUGGGAAUUUCAGAUGCGCUACCCACUCCCACAUAUGCCUAACUUGCGGAAGGGAAAGAAACACCAUAAGCACUGGCCCAGCUGAUGAUUACACUGCCAUGCAUUCAGUGGGGUGUCAAAAAGGGGUUGUAGCUGCUUUAAGAAUGUAAGCACCUCUUUCAGACACUCCAUUGCAUGUGUGGCUGAGGCUAGGAUUGCAAUCACAUGGUGGGUGGGACUAGCAGCAUUAGUUCAUUAAUUUCAAUGGGUCUACUUUGAGUAGAACUUUGUUUGCUGCCACUCUUAGUACAGACUUUUCUCAGGUUCAGCUGUUUCCAAUCUUAAACUCAGUUUGUCAUAUUUCUGCAUCAGCUUGGUUUUUUUUUUUUAAAGAUCAGCAUUCUAGUGCACAAUUUUCUUAAUGCACACAUACAUUUUUUGUCUAUAAUUUUACCUCAAAAUUGCAUUAUUGCAAACAACUUUCCUUAAUGCAAUAUAUUUGUGUAUGUUUCUUUGACCUAGAUAGGCAUUUUUACACAUACUUCCUCCCCUCCCCCCUCCCCAUGGAUUCUUGUGCACUUUUUAAAUUGAAUAACUACCUUGCAAGAUUCACAGCAGUGUUCUGUUUCAGACAGCGUAUAGUUUUGGGAAAUGAAUAUAAUAAAAAAUCAACAUUAAAAUGCAAAUUGAGCAGGAUGUCCCCCCCAUCUCCGCUUCAAGUGGUCAACUAUAUUGCAGUUGUUUGGGGAGCAUAGGAGUGUAUGUGAAGCACUCAACAAACCACUAAACACAAAUAGCCCACUAUGUUCUCCGCUUAUUUGACACAGGAAAUAAUCUUAAUAACAUUU
Molecule: non-coding RNA, 4222 nt
Organism: Podarcis lilfordi (Lilford's wall lizard)
Lineage: Eukaryota; Metazoa; Chordata; Lepidosauria; Squamata; Lacertidae
Source: the annotation of a GenBank genome assembly